RNAcentral lists this ribosomal RNA (204 nucleotides) under uncultured bacterium. RNAcentral's name for it is "partial 16S ribosomal RNA". It matches the Rfam family "Bacterial small subunit ribosomal RNA", at positions 524 to 723 of the family's 1533-position model. The record is from RNAcentral.
UACGUAGGGCGCAAGCGUUGUCCGGAAUUAUUGGGCGUAAAGAGCUCGUAGGCGGCCUGUGCGUCCGCUGUGAAAUCCCGGGGCUCAACCCCCGGGCCUGCAGUGGAUACGGGGCUGGCUAGAGGCAGGCAGGGGGAGAACGGAAUUCCGUGGUGUAGCGGUGAAAUGCGCAGAUAUCAGGAGGAACACCGGUGGGCGAAGGCG